GUCGUAGGACUCAGCUACAUGCCCAGCAGUAUGUCUGUCUGCAUGCCAUGUCCCACCUUGAUGAUGAUGAACUGAACCUCUGAACUAUAGAUGGGAACCAGUUCCUUUUCAUACAGAAAUACCUCGGUUGAAGAGCUCAGUUGCCUGAAUUUCUUCCACACUACUCAAUAUCAGAAUGCUUGUUACAAACAGGUCAGCGGCACUGGAGUCGUUCGUGGCUUUUCCCACACCCGGGAAUUUACUCCAGGACUUCAUUGUCUGCGGUCUGGAGCUCUGAAAUCUGAACCUGAGGUCUCCACAGUUUCCCCGAUGGGGAAUUCCAGAUAGGCAUUUUAGCAGUACCGAGACAGCAGUUAUUUUGGAAUGUUAACUUUCUGUGGAGGUAGUCAGACAGAAUGGAUUUAUGCUGUCUCACACAGACCAACGGGACCAGAAUAUCUAUUUAUUCAUAACUUCCCACGCACAGGGACAGGAGUCAACACUUUGAGGAACUCUUCCCUCAUCUCCGAAAGAAAAUAACUAUCUGCUAAAAUGUCCUAAUCAAGGUCACUGUGCCCAAGAGCCCCACCUCCGCAGAAUCUCAGUUUUGAGAAGCCGGCAGAAGACAACACGAGAGGCAAUUCAGGGGCUUUCGGGAUGAAGCUUUCCUGGGACGACCAGAGAAAGUUUGUAAGGUCCUUGUCGGCUGCGCACGCACGGGUUUUCUAACCUUGGAGAGUUACUGGAUCAACAGCGGGGACAGGACGUUGAAAUGAAGACCCCGCAGACAGAGCUCUUGAACCGGCCUUCGGGACUUUGGCCACAAGGGUCCUGAAACCUGGCGGUAAAGCCGUUUGAGUUUAGAGUGUUGCACUGGCUUGUGACGUUCUAGGAACUGUGCGUCACGCGUCACGCUGUGUCGAAGCUUUGUUCGUGUCUCCUGUGGUUGUUGCCUCAGCAAGGCCACCAGCUGGGAACCGGAGCUCUGAGGGUCGGUGCCUCAGAACAGGAUCAACAAUCUUUACACGAAGAGGAUACAGAGGAACAAAAGAUUGGGUAGGUGGAGGCUGAUGCUCUGCCUUUGCUUCUUCGGUUACAGGCUCCGAGAUCGCGAGCGACUCCGUAGUCACAGAUAUUCCGUGUCCCGGAAGCUCCUGGUUGCCGAGAGACCAGGAGCUGUUUCAGAUGUCAGGAUGAGAACAAUCACAGCCUCCAGGUCAGAGGACACUAGGCAUUAGGUCCUGCAGUGGUCAGCGCCAACUCCAUACAGCCUAUUGGGGUCGCUUCCACUUUUUUUCGUGCGUCGCCAAGCCUUGCAGACCCUCAGACCAAAAACGCCCAGAAACUCAAGUUGUCCACUUCUCGGACAACUUAAAGGAGGACCGAAUAAACACGGGAGCUCUUCCCUGAAUUCAGACGCGGAGGACGGGACAGUCGGUCCUCGACUCUUCGGGUUCCCACUGAGACAGCUUUGAACCGCCCGGAAGAGCAGGCGUCUUCCAAACUCCUGGAACAGUGAUGACGGUAAAUCCAAGUUCGAGCUGAGCAGAGUUUGGCAUCACCGCGACCUAAGACAAGCGAGACGACUCCGUCCUCUGACCAGCCGGGGCGCGCUGGUCCUGGACUCACUCAUCACUCAGGACUCCGUCGUCUCCGACGGUGGAAGAUGGACAAAGCCUCGCCGGCCGCGAACAAGCAGAUCUUCCGGGCACGAACACCCGGUCUCUGGAGUCCCGGCGUCUAUAAGACUGGAGCGAUGCCUUAGUGGCCCAGUAGAGACGCGCAACUUGGCGGAGUCUGCCAUCUUCAGAGUUAUCCAAAGGUUUUUGACGAAUUGAUUGCGAAAUUCGGCAAAACUGCAAAGGCUAUCAAACUGUCACUCCGAAGCAACAAGGAGAAGUGCGCAGGAGGCGAACUCUGUGAGAACUAGAGGGCGGCUGGCAGUCUGGGAGACCACUGAACGAGUGGACUGGGCUGUCCCGGGCCAGUGUCCCUGGUCAGGAAUCAUUGCAUUGCAACGUGACAUUACUUGCCCUCGUACAGAAUUUUCUUUCUGCCUAGAGAAACUUUCAACUUAGAGCAACACGAGUUUUGUAACUGUUUCCAGUUUUAAGUAAAACAUAGAAAGAGAAAAAAAAACCAAGCAAAAUUCUCUCAAUUGGCAAUUAUAGCCUUAUCUGUAUGGGUGGACUGGAAGGUACUGAUCAUGUGGUUAGUUACGAUGUGGACAGUUACAUCAGUUGGUUAGAACAUUCUGGUAAUAACGCCAAUGUUGCGUCGUCGAUCCCUGUACGGGCCAGGUUGUCUUUCCUUUUAGAAUAAAAUCCGCAAUUUAUAUCUA
Non-coding RNA from Cricetulus griseus (Chinese hamster), 2320 nucleotides. NCBI's taxonomy places the organism in Eukaryota, Metazoa, Chordata, Mammalia, Rodentia, Cricetidae. The record is from RefSeq and is a predicted model, not a curated record.